AUUAAAGUGGCAGAAAGUGCGAGAAAUUUAAGCUUUCUUAAUGAUGUAAUCCUUUAAUA
This 59-nucleotide transfer RNA is filed under the name Alectorobius microlophi. RNAcentral describes it as "tRNA-Leu". Lineage: Eukaryota; Metazoa; Arthropoda; Arachnida; Ixodida; Argasidae. The record is from RNAcentral.